RNAcentral lists this ribosomal RNA (255 nucleotides) under uncultured Acanthamoeba. RNAcentral's name for it is "partial 18S ribosomal RNA". The stretch from base 1 to 182 matches the Rfam family "Eukaryotic small subunit ribosomal RNA", at positions 930 to 1115 of the family's 1831-position model. Lineage: Eukaryota; Discosea; Longamoebia; Acanthamoebidae. The record is from RNAcentral.
GAAAGAUAACUUCUGCGAAAGCAUCUGCCAAGGAUGUUUUCAUUAAUCAAGAACGAAAGUUAGGGGAUCGAAGACGAUCAGAUACCGUCGUAGUCUUAACCAUAAACGAUGCCGACCAGCGAUUAGGAGACGUUGAAUACAAAACACCACCAUCGGCGCGGUCGUCCUUGGCGUCUGGCCCUUUGGGCCGGCCCGAGGGCGGGUUAGCCUGAUGCCGCCGGCGACGGAGUCUGACUCCCUUUGAGCUAGUGAGAA